AUGAAAAGAAAACUAUCUUGGCUGAUAAUGAUUUGUGGGCUUAAAAGAGAGGAUCCAGAUAUUUUGAAAUGGAAACAUGGAGAACCUAAGUUUAUUGACUUGCUAGAUAAAUGUUUCAAAGGUGUCAUAGCUACUGGAUUCACCCUUUAUAAACCAUAUGAAGAGCUAUCACGUGAAGGAUCAAAAUCUCUUUUUGAAUACGGUCGUGAGAAUAACAUAAUUACUGAGGAUGAAUGA
Molecule: non-coding RNA, 237 nt
Organism: Vicia faba (fava bean)
Lineage: Eukaryota; Viridiplantae; Streptophyta; Magnoliopsida; Fabales; Fabaceae
Source: the annotation of a GenBank genome assembly